This 31-nucleotide non-coding RNA is filed under the name Homo sapiens (human). Lineage: Eukaryota; Metazoa; Chordata; Mammalia; Primates; Hominidae. The record is from RNAcentral.
UCAUAGCACACUCCAACGUCUGCCUUUUGUC